AAACGUACAAUUUCAGUCGUCGUUCCGAGGCAAGUGAAGUAGUUACCAACGGGCGGUGAGCUGUGAGUUCGAGGCGAGCGAUUGUUUGUAGUGCGCUUUUUUCGUUCACGCUUCACAUUUGGGGCCACCAGCCAUACCAUCAUAUCUACCCAGGGAGCCAAUCGUUGGCGGAAUUGGAAGGGACGAGCGGGGGGCGACUGACGGUCUUGGAGGUUGGGGGUGAAAAGAACCGAGCCAGUGUGUCGCGUACAUGUGUGCGAUGGAUGAAAUUUUAUAACCAGAUUUUCGUCGUCGUUGACCGAACCGAACGAACCGGGCCUGAGCGAAAACCGAUGCAAACGAAAAUGACGCGGUACGGGUCGGGGCAUGCGCGUCACCCAGGAGCCUCCCUCGGCUCCUCAGCCCAAGUCCAACUCCAAACCUGAACAACAAAUAUAAAAAUGAAGAAUUUGAAUUUGCGCCCAAAGUAAGGCCAAGUGGUGGUUUGUGCUGUGCCUGUGCGGUGUGAGGUGAUGAUGUAGUUCAUGUUGUUGACUCGCUGCGGCACUGCUUAGCCCGCGAUAACCGCUUGCUAGUUCGAGCCGGCUCCCGCUCCGCGUGUAGCUCUCACGUCUUACUAACUCCGUACGAGUCCAUAAUGGAGGCGCAUUAUGUAUAUCCAUUUAUCGAGCAUUCCGCGCGAAUUCCUCAAUCUAAAUCGCCUUCUUGCAUCUUCUCGGGUUGCAUAAAGCAGGAGCAGUGGCGUUCUAAUCGUAUCCCCAUCCUCGACCAGUGUGGAUGAGGGUCAAAAGCGGAAACUUGCUCUCAACAUCGCCUUGACUUCUCAGGAUGGUAUCGGGACCGACAAGUCGAAUAUUGAACGCCGAAACAACGACGUCGAAUAAUUGUGUUUUGAUUCCGUUCCACAACUCGCCGUAAAUAUGCUUCACAUGAAAAUAUAAAGUUCCUCGUUGAGCGACGACCGCAGCCACGACUGAUAGGGAGAAAUCGUGAUAUCACCAUGAAUGCACAUGUGAUACAUUUUCAAUACAUCUUGUUAUGUACCGCCGUCACUGAAGCCCCUUCCCCCUUCCACGGCCUCGGAAUUUCGUCUGUUAAAUAUAGAUUUAGAUGCGGUUCAAAAUAAAAUAUUUUGCCUAUGUAUCUUGAACCCGAUUCACAAAAUGAAACCAGAAAAGAUGAAAGGAAUUAAUAAAACAAUGUAUCUAUAGAAACGCA
This 1218-nucleotide unclassified non-coding RNA is filed under the name Hermetia illucens (black soldier fly). RNAcentral's name for it is "uncharacterized LOC119648125, transcript variant X2". Lineage: Eukaryota; Metazoa; Arthropoda; Insecta; Diptera; Stratiomyidae. The record is from RNAcentral.